GAGCGGAUGAAGGGAGCUUGCUCCUGGAUUCAGCGGCGGACGGGUGAGUAAUGCCUAGGAAUCUGCCUGGUAGUGGGGGAUAACGUCCGGAAACGGGCGCUAAUACCGCAUACGUCCUGAGGGAGAAAGUGGGGGAUCUUCGGACCUCACGCUAUCAGAUGAGCCUAGGUCGGAUUAGCUAGUUGGUGGGGUAAAGGCCUACCAAGGCGACGAUCCGUAACUGGUCUGAGAGGAUGAUCAGUCACACUGGAACUGAGACACGGUCCAGACUCCUACGGGAGGCAGCAGUGGGGAAUAUUGGACAAUGGGCGAAAGCCUGAUCCAGCCAUGCCGCGUGUGUGAAGAAGGUCUUCGGAUUGUAAAGCACUUUAAGUUGGGAGGAAGGGCAGUAAGUUAAUACCUUGCUGUUUUGACGUUACCAACAGAAUAAGCACCGGCUAACUUCGUGCCAGCAGCCGCGGUAAUACGAAGGGUGCAAGCGUUAAUCGGAAUUACUGGGCGUAAAGCGCGCGUAGGUGGUUCAGCAAGUUGGAUGUGAAAUCCCCGGGCUCAACCUGGGAACUGCAUCCAAAACUACUGAGCUAGAGUACGGUAGAGGGUGGUGGAAUUUCCUGUGUAGCGGUGAAAUGCGUAGAUAUAGGAAGGAACACCAGUGGCGAAGGCGACCACCUGGACUGAUACUGACACUGAGGUGCGAAAGCGUGGGGAGCAAACAGGAUUAGAUACCCUGGUAGUCCACGCCGUAAACGAUGUCGACUAGCCGUUGGGAUCCUUGAGAUCUUAGUGGCGCAGCUAACGCGAUAAGUCGACCGCCUGGGGAGUACGGCCGCAAGGUUAAAACUCAAAUGAAUUGACGGGGGCCCGCACAAGCGGUGGAGCAUGUGGUUUAAUUCG
Molecule: ribosomal RNA, 894 nt
Filed under: Pseudomonas aeruginosa
Lineage: Bacteria; Pseudomonadati; Pseudomonadota; Gammaproteobacteria; Pseudomonadales; Pseudomonadaceae
Description: bacterial SSU rRNA
Rfam family: Bacterial small subunit ribosomal RNA
Source: RNAcentral